Non-coding RNA from Pangasianodon gigas (Mekong giant catfish), 72 nucleotides. Lineage: Eukaryota; Metazoa; Chordata; Actinopteri; Siluriformes; Pangasiidae. The record is from the annotation of a GenBank genome assembly.
UCACUGGAGGACUAGUGGUAAGGCCUCAGCGCUCUCACUGCUGCGGCCUGGGUUCAAACCCUGGCCAGGGAA